This is a non-coding RNA of Paramormyrops kingsleyae, 799 nucleotides long. Lineage: Eukaryota; Metazoa; Chordata; Actinopteri; Osteoglossiformes; Mormyridae. The record is from RefSeq and is a predicted model, not a curated record.
CCUGGAAAUUGCAGAUUUUCUGUAUUAAAAUUUGCUCAACAACACUGAGAAGAUGAAUGUUCACCAUCAAUAUUGGCCAUGGGGAGGGAGACAUUGCCCUAAACUUCAGUGUCAAGUUUGACAGUAAAAGGGUCGUCAUGAAGACCCUGCAGGGUGGCAGCGGGAGCCAUGAGAAGGCGUUGGAUUCCUUCCCCUUUGAGAAGGGGCAGGUGUUCAAGCUGACUGGCACAACAUCUAUGGCAUUCCCCUGCCUAAUACCAGGAACAGGGUCCAGCCCACAGCCCCCCUGUAAAACUUGAAGACAUCACCAAAAAGACAACGCCGCCCAGGUAAAUGUAGUCUGGAGCCUGUCCCAGGAAAUGGAUCACAAGGGACAUGAAACACUUACUGAUGAAGAAAACGAGGCUCUUUAGGUCUGGAGACAAUAAAGAGAUUCAAGAGGUGAAGGUGGAAAUGAAGAUGCAGCUUAGCAAGGGGACAAAGCACAUCAGGGACAAGCUGGAGCACUAACUACAGUACAAGAGUGUGAAGGAGGUAUGGAUUGGGAUGAGAACCAUCAUCGGCUACAGGCAGGCUGGAUACAUUGUGUUUGAUGGGAGCGCAGACAGUGCUGAAGAGCUGAAUCUGUUUUUCAGCACAAUGCCUCUCACUGGUCAGUCUCCCCUUCCCUCCCUCAACACUUCCAGCCACAACUUGCCAGCUGGGGUGGGGGGUGUGGCUGCACAAGCCUGAGAUCCUGCUCAGUUGUUGCCUACAAAUAACCAUAAGUGCUCCCUGCCAUUAUGUUCACAUAUUAUGC